RNAcentral lists this ribosomal RNA (445 nucleotides) under uncultured bacterium. Its description in RNAcentral is "bacterial SSU rRNA". It matches the Rfam family "Bacterial small subunit ribosomal RNA", at positions 330 to 792 of the family's 1533-position model. The record is from RNAcentral.
CCCAGACUCCUACGGGAGGCAGCAGUGGGGAAUAUUGCACAAUGGGGGAAACCCUGAUGCAGCGACGCCGCGUGAGUGAAGAAGUAUUUCGGUAUGUAAAGCUCUAUCAGCAGGGAAGAUAAUGACGGUACCUGACUAAGAAGCCCCGGCUAACUACGUGCCAGCAGCCGCGGUAAUACGUAGGGGGCAAGCGUUAUCCGGAUUUACUGGGUGUAAAGGGAGCGUAGACGGUGAUGCAAGUCAGAAGUGAAAGCCCGGGGCUCAACUCCGGGACUGCUUUUGAAACUGUGUACCUGGAGUGCAGGAGAGGUAAGCGGAAUUCCUAGUGUAGCGGUGAAAUGCGUAGAUAUUAGGAGGAACACCAGUGGCGAAGGCGGCUUACUGGACUGUAACUGACGUUGAGGCUCGAAAGCGUGGGGAGCAAACAGGAUUAGAUACCCUUGUA